Molecule: ribosomal RNA, 466 nt
Filed under: uncultured bacterium
Lineage: Bacteria
Description: bacterial SSU rRNA
Rfam family: Bacterial small subunit ribosomal RNA
Source: RNAcentral
CCAGACUCCUACGGGAGGCAGCAGUGAGGAAUAUUGGUCAAUGGUCGGGAGACUGAACCAGCCAAGCCGCGUGAGGGAUGAAGGUACAGAGUAUCGUAAACCUCUUUUGUCAGGGAACAAAGGCGGGGACGCGUCCCCGGAUGAGUGUACCUGAAGAAAAAGCAUCGGCUAACUCCGUGCCAGCAGCCGCGGUAAUACGGAGGAUGCGAGCGUUAUCCGGAUUUAUUGGGUUUAAAGGGUGCGCAGGCGGUCUGUGAGGGCCGGGGACGAGGCGGGGGCCCCCCCCCCGGCCCGCCGUUGAAACUGGCAGUCUCGAGUUGGAGAGAAGUAUGCGGAAUGCGCGGUGUAGCGGUGAAAUGCAUAGAUAUCGCGCAGAACUCCGAUUGCGAAGGCAGCAUGCCGGCUCCACACUGACGCUGAGGCACGAAAGCGUGGGUAUCGAACAGGAUUAGAUACCCCUGUAAGG